RNAcentral lists this ribosomal RNA (923 nucleotides) under Streptococcus pneumoniae. RNAcentral's name for it is "partial 23S ribosomal RNA". It matches the Rfam family "Bacterial large subunit ribosomal RNA", at positions 1 to 932 of the family's 2925-position model. The record is from RNAcentral. Lineage: Bacteria; Bacillati; Bacillota; Bacilli; Lactobacillales; Streptococcaceae.
GGUUAAGUUAAUAAGGGCGCACGGUGGAUGCCUUGGCACUAGGAGCCGACGAAGGACGUGACAAACGACGAUAUGCCUUGGGUAGCUGUAAGUAAGCGAUGAUCCAGGGAUUUCCGAAUGGGGGAACCCAACAGGUAGUACCUGUUACCCACAUCUGUUAAGGAUGUGAGGAGGAAGACGCAGUGAACUGAAACAUCUAAGUAGCUGCAGGAAGAGAAAGCAAAAGCGAUUGCCUUAGUAGCGGCGAGCGAAACGGCAGAAGGGCAAACCGAAGAGUUUACUCUUCGGGGUUGUAGGACUGCAAUGUGGACUCAAAGAUUAUAGAAGAAUGAUUUGGGAAGAUCAGCCAAAGAGAGUAAUAGCCUCGUAUUUAAAAUAGUCUUUGUACCUAGCAGUAUCCUGAGUACGGCGGGACACGUGAAAUCCCGUCGGAAUCUGGGAGGACCAUCUCCCAACCCUAAAUACUCCCUAGUGACCGAUAGUGAACCAGUACCGUGAGGGAAAGGUGAAAAGCACCCCGGGAGGGGAGUGAAAUAGAACCUGAAACCGUGUGCCUACAACAAGUUCGAGCCCGUUAAUGGGUGAGAGCGUGCCUUUUGUAGAAUGAACCGGCGAGUUACGUUAUGAUGCGAGGUUAAGUUGAAGAGACGGAGCCGUAGGGAAACCGAGUCUGAAUAGGGCGCCUUAGUAUCAUGACGUAGACCCGAAACCAUGUGACCUACCCAUGAGCAGGUUGAAGGUGCGGUAAGACGCACUGGAGGACCGAACCAGGGCACGUUGAAAAGUGCUUGGAUGACUUGUGGGUAGCGGAGAAAUUCCAAACGAACUUGGAGAUAGCUGGUUCUCUCCGAAAUAGCUUUAGGGCUAGCGUCGACAUUAGAGAUUCUUGGAGGUAGAGCACUGUUUGGGUGAGGGGUCCAUCC